Long non-coding RNA from Gopherus flavomarginatus (Mexican gopher tortoise), 315 nucleotides. RefSeq lists it as uncharacterized. Lineage: Eukaryota; Metazoa; Chordata; Testudines; Testudinidae. The record is from RefSeq and is a predicted model, not a curated record. The transcript has 3 exons.
UGCAGGGGGAGCCCCACAUCCUGCCAGCCCUGCACCAGGCGCUCUGGGGGGGGAGAUGGGAUGAGACCUCUGUGCCCCCCCAGGUACCCUCCCAGCCUCCCCCCGCUGCCCCAAUCUCCCCUCCCCCUGGGAUCUUCAUCCUUCACCGACUGCCCCCCCCAGGUACCCUCCCAGCCUCCCCCCGCUGCCCCAAUCUCCCCUCCCCCUGGGAUCUUCAUCCUUCACCGACUGCCCCCCCCCAGGUACCCUGCCAGCCUCCCCCCGCUGCCCCAAUCUCCCCUCCCCCUGGGAUCUUCAUCCUUCACCGACUGCCCC